Molecule: ribosomal RNA, 419 nt
Filed under: Salmonella enterica subsp. enterica serovar Paratyphi B var. L(+) tartrate +
Lineage: Bacteria; Pseudomonadati; Pseudomonadota; Gammaproteobacteria; Enterobacterales; Enterobacteriaceae
Description: bacterial SSU rRNA
Rfam family: Bacterial small subunit ribosomal RNA
Source: RNAcentral
GUGAGAUGUUGGGUUAAGUCCCGCAACGAGCGCAACCCACGUAUUUAGUUGCUAACGGUUCGGCCGAGCACUCUAAAUAGACUGCCUUCGUAAGGAGGAGGAAGGUGUGGACGACGUCAAGUCAUCAUGGCCCUUAUGCCCAGGGCGACACACGUGCUACAAUGGCAUAUACAAUGAGACGCAAUACCGCGAGGUGGAGCAAAUCUAUAAAAUAUGUCCCAGUUCGGAUUGUUCUCUGCAACUCGAGAGCAUGAAGCCGGAAUCGCUAGUAAUCGUAGAUCAGCCAUGCUACGGUGAAUACGUUCCCGGGUCUUGUACUCACCGCCCGUCACACCAUGGGAGUUGAUUUCACUCGAAGCCGGAAUACUAAACUAGUUACCGUCCACAGUGGAAUCAGCGACUGGGGUGAAGUCGUAACA